Molecule: ribosomal RNA, 520 nt
Filed under: Salmonella enterica
Lineage: Bacteria; Pseudomonadati; Pseudomonadota; Gammaproteobacteria; Enterobacterales; Enterobacteriaceae
Description: partial 23S ribosomal RNA
Rfam family: Bacterial large subunit ribosomal RNA
Source: RNAcentral
AGACCCGAAACCCGGUGAUCUAGCCAUGGGCAGGUUGAAGGUUGGGUAACACUAACUGGAGGACCGAACCGACUAAUGUUGAAAAAUUAGCGGAUGACCUGUGGCUGGGGGUGAAAGGCCAAUCAAACCGGGAGAUAGCUGGUUCUCCCCGAAAGCUAUUUAGGUAGCGCCUCGUGAAUUCAUCUCCGGGGGUAGAGCACUGUUUCGGCCAGGGGGCCAUCCCGGCUUACCAAUCCGAUGCAAACUGCGAAUACCGGAGAAUGUUAUCACGGGAGACACACGGCGGGUGCUAACGUCCGUCGUGAAGAGGGAAACAACCCAGACCGCCAGCUAAGGUCCCAAAGUCAUGGUUAAGUGGGAAACGAUGUGGGAAGGCCCAGACAGCCAGGAUGUUGGCUUAGAAGCAGCCAUCAUUUAAAGAAAGCGUAAUAGCUCACUGGUCGAGUCGGCCUGCGCGGAAGAUGUAACGGGGCUAAACCAUGCACCGAAGCUGCGGCAGCGACACUGAUGUGUUGUUGGG